Molecule: long non-coding RNA, 535 nt
Organism: Mus musculus (house mouse)
Lineage: Eukaryota; Metazoa; Chordata; Mammalia; Rodentia; Muridae
Product: predicted gene, 42317
Exons: 3
Source: RefSeq, a predicted model, not a curated record
UCCAUUGUAUACGGCCUCAUCCUGUGAGUGGCUGGUUUAUGAGCUAGUUCCCAGCCUUUCCAAACCCCAUGGCUGAAGUCAGCAAGGUGUUAACCAAAGGAUCCUGAGACCUCAGGCACCUGGUACUCCAGAUGUGGAUCUUCCCAGAGAUGUCCAUUCAGCUCCCAGGAACUGCAGACACCUAUGGUUCUAGUGAGGCCCAGUAGGAGCUAGCUUUCGCUGGAAAUAGGAAGAGCCAGUGAACGUGGUGUGUUCUGACCCAGUGAGUCGUAAACUCAAGCACGUGACACCAGAUGGAAGUGAGGCUGAGUGUACAAGAAAGGCAGAAGGGCUCCAGGAGGUUGUGCAUCCAGGUGGCCCACACAGCAGAGCCCCAACCCCUUCUCUGUGGCUGUACUCUGUGCUCACGCCAAUGGCCUUAUGGGAGUAUCCUGCGACCAAGCAGGUAAGGGAUGAAGAUAAGUCUUGCUGUGGAGAUGGUCUUUCCUGAUGCCUGCAACCAUUCAGGGAGACUUCUGCAGCCUCCCUGGUCCUC